RNAcentral lists this ribosomal RNA (483 nucleotides) under uncultured bacterium. RNAcentral describes it as "partial 16S ribosomal RNA". It matches the Rfam family "Bacterial small subunit ribosomal RNA", at positions 28 to 506 of the family's 1533-position model. The record is from RNAcentral.
AUUGAACGCUGGCGGCAUGCUUUACACAUGCAAGUCGAACGGCAGCGCGGGCUUCGGCCUGGCGGCGAGUGGCGAACGGGUGAGUAAUGCAUCGGAACGUGCCCAGUAGUGGGGGAUAGCCCGGCGAAAGCCGGAUUAAUACCGCAUACGACCUGAGGGUGAAAGCGGGGGACCGAAAGGCCUCGCGCUAUUGGAGCGGCCGAUGUCGGAUUAGCUAGUUGGUGGGGUAAAGGCUUACCAAGGCGACGAUCCGUAGCUGGUCUGAGAGGACGACCAGCCACACUGGGGCUGCGACACGGCCCAGACUCCUACGGGAGGCAGCAGUGGGGAAUUUUGGACAAUGGGGGCAACCCUGCUCCAGCCAUGCCGCGUGCGGGAAGAAGGCCUUCGGGUGGUAAACCGCUUUUGUUCGGGAAGAAAUCCUCUGGGCUAAUACCCCGGGGGGAUGACGGUACCGGAAGAAUAAGCACCGGCUAACUACGU